This 689-nucleotide ribosomal RNA is filed under the name Heterodera hordecalis. Its description in RNAcentral is "eukaryotic LSU rRNA". It matches the Rfam family "Eukaryotic large subunit ribosomal RNA", at positions 382 to 909 of the family's 3401-position model. The record is from RNAcentral. Lineage: Eukaryota; Metazoa; Nematoda; Chromadorea; Rhabditida; Heteroderidae.
AGAGAGUUAAAGAGGACGUGAAACCGAUGAGGUGGAAACGGACAGAGCUGGCGUAUCUGGUCUGCAUUCACCCGUCUGUUGUUGGACGUUGGGCUUCCUGCCUCCAGACUGGGGUCGGUUGUCUUUCUGUUCAGCGGCUGAUGGGGCAUUUGCAGGCGGAGUGCGCUGAGAUGCUCGGGGUAGCUGCGUGAACUCGGCUUUGAGGCCAGCCCUUCGGGGUCUGGUACCCGGGUCGGGGGAAUGCUGUUUACUCUGGGUGAGAGUGUGCAAUGGUUUCGGGUCCGUGUUGGUUCGAGCUGAGUGUCGGUGGCGGUCGCAUGCGACACGUACCAGCAAUCAGUUCGGUCCAGCUCGGGCUCUCAUUUGUGCGUUCUCGGUGUAAAAGCCGGUUAUCUGUCCGACCCGUCUUGAAACACGGACCAAGGAGUUUAGCGUAUGCGCGAGUCAUUGGGUGUUGAAAACCCAAAGGCGUAAUGAAAGUGAAGGCAUCCUUGCGGAGCUGAUGUGUGAUCCCUGGCACUGCGGUGUUGGGGCGCAACAUAGUCCCGUCUCGAUCGCAUGCGAUGGGGCGGAGACAGAGCGUAUGCGCUGAGACCCGAAAGAUGGUGAACUAUUCCUGAGCAGGAUGAAGCCAGAGGAAACUCUGGUGGAAGUCCGAAGCGAUUCUGACGUGCAAAUCGAUCGUCUGA